GUUUUCGUGGUAGAACUGGAAUCAUACUCGAUUCGUAUUCGAGAGGUCUAGGGUUCGAGUCCCGGUGAGGACA
Molecule: transfer RNA, 73 nt
Filed under: Stegodyphus mimosarum
Lineage: Eukaryota; Metazoa; Arthropoda; Arachnida; Araneae; Eresidae
Rfam family: tRNA
About the family: Transfer RNA (tRNA) molecules are approximately 80 nucleotides in length. Their secondary structure includes four short double-helical elements and three loops (D, anti-codon, and T loops). Further hydrogen bonds mediate the characteristic L-shaped molecular structure. tRNAs have two regions of fundamental functional importance: the anti-codon, which is responsible for specific mRNA codon recognition, and the 3' end, to which the tRNAs corresponding amino acid is attached (by aminoacyl-tRNA synthetases). tRNAs cope with the degeneracy of the genetic code in two manners: having more than one tRNA (with a specific anti-codon) for a particular amino acid; and 'wobble' base-pairing, i.e. permitting non-standard base-pairing at the 3rd anti-codon position.
Source: Rfam by way of RNAcentral